CACGUAGGGCGCAAGCGUUGUCCGGAAUUAUUGGGCGUAAAGAGCUCGUAGGCGGUCUGUUGCGUCUGCUGUGAAAACUCGGGGCUUAACCCCGAGCCUGCAGUGGAUACGGGCAGACUAGAGGUAGGUAGGGGAGAAUGGAAUUCCCGGUGUAGCGGUGAAAUGCGCAGAUAUCGGGAGGAACACCGGUGGCGAAGGCGGUUCUCUGGGCCAUUACUGACGCUGAGGAGCGAAAGCGUGGGGAGCGAACAGG
RNAcentral lists this ribosomal RNA (253 nucleotides) under uncultured bacterium. Its description in RNAcentral is "partial 16S ribosomal RNA". It matches the Rfam family "Bacterial small subunit ribosomal RNA", at positions 524 to 776 of the family's 1533-position model. The record is from RNAcentral.